CCCACAGGCGAUGGUGAGCGUGAAGCUCGUUGCAGCUGAGGGUGUGGGGACCAUUGCCGCCGGCGUCGCCAAGGCGAAGGCCGACCACAUAACCAUCUCGGGGCACGACGGCGGCACCGGGGCCUUGCCGCUCUCCUCGAUCAAGUACGCGGGGCUGCCGUGGGAACUCGGUAUCGCCGAGGCCCAGCAGGUACUGGUCGAGAACGACCUGCGCGGACGCAUAGUCCUGCAGACCGACGCCCAGAUGAAGACGGGGCGCGACGUGGUAAUGGCCGC
Molecule: unclassified non-coding RNA, 276 nt
Filed under: plant metagenome
Description: partial contains 5.8S ribosomal RNA, internal transcribed spacer 2, and large subunit ribosomal RNA
Source: RNAcentral